RNAcentral lists this ribosomal RNA (560 nucleotides) under Tasmanoperla larvalis. RNAcentral describes it as "partial 16S ribosomal RNA". It matches the Rfam family "Bacterial large subunit ribosomal RNA", at positions 1796 to 2622 of the family's 2925-position model. The record is from RNAcentral. Lineage: Eukaryota; Metazoa; Arthropoda; Insecta; Plecoptera; Austroperlidae.
UCGCCUGUUNAUCAAAAACAUGUCCUCUUGAAAGAAAUNUGAGGUCUGGCCUGCCCACUGAGAUUAAUCUUAAAGGGCCGCGGUAUUUUGACCGUGCAAAGGUAGCAUAAUCAUUAGUCUUUUAAUUGAAGGCUAGAAUGAAUGGUUGGACGAGGUAUUGACUGUCUCCGUGCAGAUGAGAUUAGAAUUUAACUUUUGAGUGAAAAGGCUUAAAUGUUUUUAAAGGACGAGAAGACCCUAUAGAGCUUUAUAGUGAAUUUUUUGUAGUUUAUUUGGUUGUCUUCUUACUAUAGAAAAUUUAUUAUUUUGUUGGGGUGACAGGAAGAUAUAAAAAACUCUUUUUAUUUGUGAAACAUUUAUGUAUGAAUUAUUGAUCCAUUAUUAAUGAUUAAAAGUCUAAGUUACCUUAGGGAUAACAGCGUAAUCUUUUUCGAGAGUUCUUAUCGACAAAAAGGGUUGCGACCUCGAUGUUGGAUUAAGGGUAAUUUUGGGUGUAGAUGUUCAAAGUUUAGGUCUGUUCGACCUUUAAAUCCUUACAUGAUCUGAGUUCAAACCGGAGA